AACGAACGCUGGCGGAGUGCUUAAGACAUGCAAGUCGUACGCGAAAGUCACCUUCGGGUGGCGAGUAGAGUGGCGCACGGGUGAGUAACGCGUGGGUAAUCUGCCCUCAGGUUUGGGACAACUUCGGGAAACUGAAGCUAAUACCGGAUGAGACUUCGAGGCCUUCGGGCCUUGCGGAAAAAGAUGGCCUCUUCUUGAAAGCUAUCGCCUGUGGAUGAGCCCGCGUCCCAUUAGCUUGUUGGUGAGGUAAAGCUCACCAAGGCAUCGAUGGGUAGCUGGUCUGAGAGGAUGAUCAGCCACACUGGAACUGAGACACGGUCCAGACUCCUACGGGAGCAGCAGUCGGGAAUAUUGGGCAAUGGGCGCAAGCCUGACCCAGCAACUCCGCGUGAGGGAUGAAAGCCCUCCGGGUCGUAAACCUCUGUCGGGAGGGAAGAAAGCUUCUUAGUCGAAUAGGCUGAGUUGUUGACGGUA
This 474-nucleotide ribosomal RNA is filed under the name uncultured bacterium. Its description in RNAcentral is "bacterial SSU rRNA". It matches the Rfam family "Bacterial small subunit ribosomal RNA", at positions 29 to 477 of the family's 1533-position model. The record is from RNAcentral.